RNAcentral lists this ribosomal RNA (301 nucleotides) under uncultured bacterium. Its description in RNAcentral is "partial 16S ribosomal RNA". It matches the Rfam family "Bacterial small subunit ribosomal RNA", at positions 509 to 807 of the family's 1533-position model. The record is from RNAcentral.
CAGUCGCCGCGGGAAUACGUAGGGUGCAAGCGUUGUCCGGAAUUAUUGGGCGUAAAGAGCUCGUAGGCGGUUUGUCGCGUCUGCUGUGAAAUCCCGAGGCUCAACCUCGGGCUUGCAGUGGGUACGGGCAGACUAGAGUGCGGUAGGGGAGAUUGGAAUUCCUGGUGUAGCGGUGGAAUGCGCAGAUAUCAGGAGGAACACCGAUGGCGAAGGCAGAUCUCUGGGCCGUAACUGACGCUGAGGAGCGAAAGCGUGGGGAGCGAACAGGAUUAGAUACCCCUGUAGUCCCUGUCUCUUAUAC